Neopsephotus bourkii (Bourke's parrot) is the source of this 448-nucleotide long non-coding RNA. RefSeq lists it as uncharacterized. The record is from RefSeq and is a predicted model, not a curated record. NCBI's taxonomy places the organism in Eukaryota, Metazoa, Chordata, Aves, Psittaciformes, Psittacidae. The transcript has 2 exons.
UUUUCCAGCUUAUUCUGAAAUGAAACUUCAAAAGACAGUUCUGAAUCUUUUACAGGAUUACCUACAGGACACUUAGAAUUAGAAAAGGCACUCGACACCUCGUAAGACAACUGAGGCUUUUCUGUGCCAGGAAGGGUCGUUUGAUCACUGGUUUGCAAAUGGCUGAUCCAUUUUUCUCCUGAAGAAAAAGGAAAAGUAAAGAGGAAGAAAAGUAAAACACCAAAUGUUAAAAAGCCCCUUAUACAGUUCGAAGAUUUCUUCAAAUAAACCCCACAUAUAAGUAGGAAUUUAUAUAGUACAUUUCCACUGGAUUUCUAAAGACAUCUUAAGUGAAAUAUUUGGGGCUUAUUAUUUUAUUUUAAUAAUGUGAAUACUGCAUGUGGUGUCAGCUUUUGAUGCUAGAAUCUUCCUUGUGCAUUUUUGAAGCAGCUGCAGUAUCUUGGCACAA